AUACGUAGGUGACAAGCGUUAUCCGGAUUUACUGGGCGUAAAGGGCGUGUAGGCGGUCUUGCAAGUCAGAAGUGAAAUUCCUGAGCUCAACUCGGGCGCUGCUUCUGAAACUGCAGGACUUGAGUGCUGGAGGGGAUAGCGGAAUUCCUAGUGGAGCGGUAAAAUGCGCAGAUAUUAGGAAGAACACAGGUGGCGAAGGCGGCUAUCUGGACAGUAACGGACGCUGAGGCGCGCAAGCCUGGGGAGCAAACAGGAUUAUAUACCCUGGUAGUCCACGCUGUAGACGAGGAAUGCUAGGUGUAAGAGGUAUCGACCCCUUUUGUGCCGGAGUCAACACAAUAAGCAUUCCGCCUGGGGAGUACGGCCGCAAGGUUGAAACUCAAAUGAAUUGACGGGG
This 397-nucleotide ribosomal RNA is filed under the name uncultured bacterium. RNAcentral describes it as "partial 16S ribosomal RNA". It matches the Rfam family "Bacterial small subunit ribosomal RNA", at positions 523 to 918 of the family's 1533-position model. The record is from RNAcentral.